AGUCGAGGGGUAUUGGUUUUCGGACCAGAGACCGGCGCACGGGUGCGUAACGCGUAUGCAAUCUACCUUUUACAGAGGGAUAGCCCAGAGAAAUUUGGAUUAAUACCUCAUAGUAUUAUUUACUGGCAUCAUUAAAUAAUUAAAGUUCCAACGGUAAAAGAUGAGCAUGCGUCCCAUUAGCUAGAUGGUAAGGUAACGGCUUACCAUGGCGACGAUGGGUAGGGGUCCUGAGAGGGAGAUCCCCCACACUGGUACUGAGACACGGACCAGACUCCUACGGGAGGCAGCAGUGAGGAAUAUUGGUCAAUGGGCGCAAGCCUGAACCAGCCAUGCCGCGUGCAGGAUGAAGCAUCUAUGGUGUGUAAACUGCUUUUGUACGAGAAGAAACACUCCUACGUGUAGGAGCUUGACGGUAUCGUAAGAAUAAGGACCGGCUAACUCCGUGCCAGCAGCCGCGGUAAUACGGAGGGUCCAAGCGUUAUCCGGAAUCAUUGGGUUUAAAGGGUCCGUAGGCGGUUUUGUAAGUCAGUGGUGAAAGCCCAUCGCUCAACGGUGGAACGGCCAUUGAUACUGCAAAACUUGAAUUAUUGGGAAGUAACUAGAAUAUGUAGUGUAGCGGUGAAAUGCUUAGAUAUUACAUGGAAUACCAAUUGCGAAGGCAGGUUACUAUCAAUAUAUUGACGCUGAUGGACGAAAGCGUGGGGAGCGAACAGGAUU
Molecule: ribosomal RNA, 717 nt
Filed under: uncultured Bacteroidota bacterium
Lineage: Bacteria; Pseudomonadati; Bacteroidota
Description: bacterial SSU rRNA
Rfam family: Bacterial small subunit ribosomal RNA
Source: RNAcentral